Long non-coding RNA from Triticum aestivum (bread wheat), 700 nucleotides. RefSeq lists it as uncharacterized. The record is from RefSeq and is a predicted model, not a curated record. The transcript has 3 exons. NCBI's taxonomy places the organism in Eukaryota, Viridiplantae, Streptophyta, Magnoliopsida, Poales, Poaceae.
CGGCCCAUUUAUCAUCUGCAGCCGAGGAGGCGAAGCUAGCGAGGGAACCGGUGGUCGACGGGAUCCAGCGGAUGCCAGCCGCGCAAGAGGGAUCUAGCUCAAGGGAGCCGAUGAGACGCGUGCGGGGCAACCGGCGGUCCGGGGGAUCCAGCCAAGGCGAGGCGUCUGAGGGGAUCCGGCGCUCGAGCGGCUGCCUCCAGGGUAUGGACAGGUGCAAACUGUUCUUGUGUACACAUCAGUCAGCUAUUCACAUAUAAGAAAUCAUUUCGUUAAAAGGUGCACGCAUCCCAAGCGAACACGGAGUGAAAAACUGGGAGGAGAAUAUAGACGCAUCUUAGCCAGUUGGCUCGUGUUUGGGGAUCAGUGCAAGUUUAAUCGGAAUGAUUUUCAAUGUCUCAAUACAGCAGCCGUGAGCACCAGUUCAGUACACGUUGGAAGAAGGUUUGGAGAGACCGACCCCAUGUGUCAACUACAGUAUGUUCGACGAAAUGUGGAGCGUGGUUUUAAAUGGAGAUUCUUGGUAUCACGUGUCAGGACGUAAGUCACUAGGAAAGGAAAAGGGUGACGAGUUAACAGCUUCCUGUGCAACGGAAGCGUGAAAUGAUGUCGUGAAAUCUCACGAUUAGCCUGUUGCGAUUCAAGAUUAGAGAAGUGACAGUAUGUAUCUUUCUAAUGAAUGAAUAAAAAGGAAUUCCGCUCA